RNAcentral lists this ribosomal RNA (433 nucleotides) under uncultured bacterium. Its description in RNAcentral is "partial 16S ribosomal RNA". It matches the Rfam family "Bacterial small subunit ribosomal RNA", at positions 29 to 507 of the family's 1533-position model. The record is from RNAcentral.
AACGAACGCUGGCGGCAUGCCUAACACAUGCAAGUCGAACGAAGCCUUCGGGCUCAGUGGCGCCCGGGUGCGUAACGCGUGGGAAUCUGCCCCUUGCGUCGGCAUAACUGUUAGAAAUGACUGCUAAUACCGGAUGAAGUCUUCGGACCAAAGAUUUAUCGGCAAGGGAUGAGCCCGCGUAGGAUUAGGUAGUUGGUGGGGUAAAGGCCUACCAAGCCGACGAUCCUUAGCUGGUCUGAGAGGAUGAUCAGCCACACUGGGAGUGAGACACGGCCCAGACUCCUACGGGAGGCAGCAGUGGGGAAUGUUGGACAAUGGACGCAAGUCUGAUCCAGCAAGGCCGCGUGAGUGAUGAAGGCCUUAGGGUUGUAAAGCUCUUUUACCAGGGAUGAUAAUGACAGUACCUGGAGAAUAAGCGCCGGCUAACUCCGUG